CAGCAGCCGCGGUAAUACCGAGGGUGCGAGCGUUAAUCGGAUUUACUGGGCGUAAAGCGUGCGUAGGCGGCUUCUUAAGUCGGAUGUGAAAUCCCUGAGCUUAACUUAGGAAUUGCAUUCGAUACUGGGAAGCUAGAGUAUGGGAGAGGAUGGUAGAAUUCCAGGUGUAGCGGUGAAAUGCGUAGAGAUCUGGAGGAAUACCGAUGGCGAAGGCAGCCAUCUGGCCUAAUACUGACGCUGAGGUACGAAAGCAUGGGGAGCAAACAGGAUUAGAUACCCCGGUAGUCCCUGUCUCUUAUAU
This 301-nucleotide ribosomal RNA is filed under the name uncultured bacterium. Its description in RNAcentral is "partial 16S ribosomal RNA". It matches the Rfam family "Bacterial small subunit ribosomal RNA", at positions 509 to 809 of the family's 1533-position model. The record is from RNAcentral.